AGGGGGAACACAAGCAGACACAGAGACGUUAAUGCUCCCCAGUGCAAUUGCCACAGUUUCUCUGUCCAGGGGUGCAGCUGAGCAGAUGCCCGGGAGCUGGACCUACCUGGCCAGGGCCUCGGCACCGCAGUCGGCCACAUUGACCUUGCCCCAGAGGCCGGUGAUGAGCUGCUUCUCUUCGGCUGUCCAGUGCACCAUGGU
Aquila chrysaetos chrysaetos is the source of this 201-nucleotide long non-coding RNA. RefSeq lists it as uncharacterized. Lineage: Eukaryota; Metazoa; Chordata; Aves; Accipitriformes; Accipitridae. The record is from RefSeq and is a predicted model, not a curated record. The transcript has 2 exons.